This 464-nucleotide ribosomal RNA is filed under the name Bombus lucorum (white-tailed bumblebee). RNAcentral describes it as "partial 16S ribosomal RNA". It matches the Rfam family "Bacterial large subunit ribosomal RNA", at positions 1833 to 2626 of the family's 2925-position model. Lineage: Eukaryota; Metazoa; Arthropoda; Insecta; Hymenoptera; Apidae. The record is from RNAcentral.
GGCUUAUUAAUGAUUUUAAGUCAAUUCUGCCCAAUGAUUAAUGGCUGCAGUAUAUUGACUGUACAAAGGUAGCAUAAUCAAUUGUUUUUUAAUUAAGAACUGGAAUGAAAGAGUUAAUGAGAUAUAUACUGUCUCAUAUAUAUUUAAUUAAUUUAAAUUUUUAGUUAAAAUGCUAAAAUUAAUUUAUGGGACGAUAAGACCCUAUAGAAUUUGAUAUUUGGGAGGAUAAGUAAAUUUAUAAAACUUUAUUAUAUUAACUUUAAUUAAAGAAUGGUCUUUUAAUAAAAAUUAAAAGAAUAAAUUACCUUAGGGAUAACAGCGUAAUAUCUUUUUAAAGAUCACAUUGAAAAAGAUGAUUGCGACCUCGAUGUUGAAUUAAGAUAAAUUUUAAAUGAAGAAAUUUAAUAAUUAAGUCUGUUCGACUUUUAAAAUCUUACAUGAUUUGAGUUCAAAUCGACGUAAGU